GCUAACUUCGUGCCAGCAGCCGCGGUAAUACGAAGGGACCUAGCGUAAUUCGGAAUUACUGGGCGUAAAGCGCGCGUAGGCGGUUAAGUAAGUUAAUUGUGAAAGCCCAAAGCUCAACUUUGGAAUUGCAAUUAAAACUACUUAGCUAGAGUUUAUCAGAGGAAAGCGGAAUACAUAGUGUAGAGGUGAAAUUCGUAGAUAUUAUGUAGAACACCAGUUGCGAAGGCGGCUUUCUGGGAUAAUACUGACGCUGAGGUGCGAAAGUAUGGGUAGCGAAGAGGAUUAGAUACCCUCGUAGUCCAUACCGUAAACGAUGAUUGUUAGAUGUUGGAAAUUUAUUUUCAGUAUCACAGCUAACGCGUUAAACAAUCCGCCUGGGGAGUACGACCGCAAGGUUAAAACUCAAAUGAAUUGACGGGGACCCGCACAAGCGGUGGAGCAUGUGGUUUAAUUCGAAGCUACGCGCAGAACCUUACCAACACUUGACAUGUCUGUCGCGGAAUCCAGAGAUGGAUUCUUUCGGUUCGGCCGGACAGAACACAGGUGCUGCAUGGCUGUCGUCAGCUCGUGUCGUGAGAUGUUGGGUUAAGUCCCGCAACGAGCGCAACCCCUACUUCUAGUUGCCAUCAGGUUAAGCUGGGCACUCUAGUAGGACUGCCUGUGAUAAGCAGGAGGAAGGUUGGGAUGACGUCAAGUCCUCAUGGCCCUUACGUGUUGGGCUACACACGUGCUACAAUGGCAGUGACAAUGAGAUGCUAAACGGCGACGUUAAGCUAAACUCAAAAACCUGCCUCAGUUCGGAUUGCACUCUGCAACUCGAGUGCAUGAAGCUGGA
RNAcentral lists this ribosomal RNA (835 nucleotides) under marine metagenome. Its description in RNAcentral is "bacterial SSU rRNA". It matches the Rfam family "Bacterial small subunit ribosomal RNA", at positions 496 to 1330 of the family's 1533-position model. The record is from RNAcentral.